UUGGUGCCGAAGCAACCGGCUGAAAUGGUUCAGGCAGCCGGUUGCUUUCUCUUUUUUUUCUUUUUUUGUUAUAUUUUUCUGCACAUCAGGUCUUAUUUUUCAUGGCGCCCCUUUUCGAAAUCCCCUCCCUCUCUCUCUCUUCUCUUCUCUUCUCUAACCUAAAACAUCGUUUCUGUCUCUCCAAAAAACCAACCCCCUCUUCUGCAAACUUAGUCUCUCUCUCUCUCCCCAAACCUCAACCCCCAACCCCUCCUUUGCAAAUCUCGUCUCUCUCAGAGCCCAAACCCCUCUUCUGCAAACCUCACACCCCUCUUUGUAACCCACCCAAAUAACGAUCAUAUCUCUCUCUCUCUAAAAACCCAUACCUCUCCUUCCCCCCGCAAACCUCUCACCUUUCUCUCUCUAACCCACUUGACACUGCUCUCUCACCUGUCUCUCUCUGAUAUAUUCCGGUAUUUUGCAGUUAGAGGGCUUCUUCUUGAGUACACAGAGAAAAUGCCGACUUUUUCAGAGACAGCAAGUGCUUUUAGAAAUAGGUUCGGGUUUCAGGAAGCGCCUGUGCCCUCAUCAGAGGUCAAAUGUUCACCUGCUUUGGCGAAAUCUGCUUCAAAAGAGUCGCUAGUUCAACCAAUUUGUAGCAUUAGAUAGAGGGAGAGCCAUGAUGGUGGAUCUGAGGUUCAAGAGAUCCAUCUUUCUGGAAAGGCCACAAUGUUCAGGUGGUGAUUCUUAUCAGGUCUUCAAGUAGUUCUGAGAUUCCUCUUCACAGCUACAACAGAUGUAUUGAAUAGCACAGUGUCCAAUCUCUUAUUUGGAUUGGACAUCCUGAGACUUGUUUUAGUUAUAACCUUGUAACCGAUGAGUUUGUUAGCCAGGUAACAUGCUUACUCUGUUUCCCUUUCUCUAACAUUUGCAUGCAUGUUGGUCUCAGUUGCCACAUACAUGGAACGAAUUCGUUGAAUGAAAGGAGAGCCUAUUCAAAGUGGCUAGGUUUCCAAUGGUGGAGAAUUGCAUGUGGAUACAACAGUUGCAUGUUUGCUUAUGGCCAACUAAAGAAGAAAGAAGGCCCGUCUCAUGAAGUAAUGGAUAAAGGGGCUCGCUGCAUUGCUCGCUGCAUUUUAAGACUGGGAGAGA
Amborella trichopoda is the source of this 1131-nucleotide long non-coding RNA. RefSeq lists it as uncharacterized. The record is from RefSeq and is a predicted model, not a curated record. Lineage: Eukaryota; Viridiplantae; Streptophyta; Magnoliopsida; Amborellales; Amborellaceae.